Molecule: ribosomal RNA, 478 nt
Filed under: uncultured bacterium
Lineage: Bacteria
Description: partial 16S ribosomal RNA
Rfam family: Bacterial small subunit ribosomal RNA
Source: RNAcentral
GACGAACGCUGGCGGCAUGCCUAACACAUGCAAGUCGAGCGAGUAGAUCCCUUCGGGGUGAAGCUAGCGGCGGACGGGUGAGUAACACGUGGGCAACCUGCCUCAUAGAGGGGAAUAGCCUUCCGAAAGGAAGAUUAAUACCGCAUAAGAUUGUAGUACCGCAUGGUAUAGCAAUUAAAGGAGCAAUCCGCUAUGAGAUGGGCCCGCGGCGCAUUAGCUAGUUGGUGAGGUAACGGCUCACCAAGGCGACGAUGCGUAGCCGACCUGAGAGGGUGAUCGGCCACAUUGGGACUGAGACACGGCCCAGACUCCUACGGGAGGCAGCAGUGGGGAAUAUUGCACAAUGGGGGAAACCCUGAUGCAGCAAUGCCGCGUGAGUGAUGACGGCCUUCGGGUUGUAAAGCUCUGUCUUCGGGGACGAUAAUGACGGUACCCGAGGAGGAAGCCACGGCUAACUACGUGCCAGCAGCCGCCGCGG